Molecule: long non-coding RNA, 967 nt
Organism: Alligator sinensis (Chinese alligator)
Lineage: Eukaryota; Metazoa; Chordata; Crocodylia; Alligatoridae
Exons: 3
Source: RefSeq, a predicted model, not a curated record
GGGGGAGUGAAGAGCUGAAUAAAACACAGUGCUCAAAAACAAGCUUGGUAAAAAAUACAGCCUAUGCAACUUCCAGAGGGAGUCAUGCCAGAGCAGAGCUGGCUACUCCAAAGGUCUCAAGUGUCUCAGUACAACACCCUAGUUUUUAACACAAAUGACCUGGAAGCAGUGAAGUCAAGUUAUUUGAAAAAAUGUCUCCUAAUUUCGCUUUGUUUUGUGACAUCCAAGUGCUUUGGUUGGAUAAAUUUGUCGUGUAUUCAGAGUUUUCCACUCUGUGUAACAACCUGGCAAAACACCUAAAAAGCCAAAAUGCAAACUAGCACCCAGGGUGAUCUGAUCAGUGUCCUGAGCCUUAGCUUGGCACCCUGGACUUUUGGUGGUAUGGAAGCACCACCUACCAGGUCUGUAUUCCUCCUGUCCCUUUCGUCUACCUUGAACAAAACACUGGUGCAGCUGCUGCUACUGCUUGCUGCCUAGGGAAAAAAUGAGGAUCAAAGACAGGAUUCUAGGCAUUGCUCUGCAAAGAAGCCAGACUGAAGUCCAUGACUGAGACUGAAAGAGGAGCACAGUUACCAUCCAUGUCAUUUUGACAGGCGCUAUCUGGAGCAGUGUGAAACUGGGGAUGCUACAGGCACAGCACACUGGAUCAUACUGCUGCCUGGCAAAGGUCACUGCAGAUGCCAGUUAAACUGUGUGGACCACCACAGCAAAGAAGAAAACAGAAUGUGAUCCUGCAUCACAACAGUCUUUAACUGUAUGUGCCCAGAGGAGCAGAGAUGUACCUAAGAGGUAGGCAAGAAGAAACUGGCAGAUGUGGUAUAUCUGAAGUCCACAAAAAUCUUCACUAUCCUAUUCCCCAUCAAAAUUAAGUCACUGGGGGAGCUGGUGAGACAAUGAACUGUGAAGUGACAAUGGUUUGUAAAUUAGUCUAUACUCUGUAUCUCUCAUAUGUCAAUGAAAACAGCAC